Molecule: non-coding RNA, 72 nt
Organism: Trichonephila inaurata madagascariensis
Lineage: Eukaryota; Metazoa; Arthropoda; Arachnida; Araneae; Nephilidae
Source: the annotation of a GenBank genome assembly
UCCCAUGUGGUCUAGUGGUUAGGAUACCAGGCUCUCAGUCAGGCGGCCCGGGUUCGAUUCCCGGCAUGGGAA